UCGAACGGAGAUAUUUAUUUCGGUAGAUAUCUUAGUGGCGCACGGGUGAGUAACGCGUGAAUAACCUGACCCGAAGAGGGGGAUAACACCUGGAAACAAGUGCUAAUACCGCAUAAGACCACGGACCGGCAUCGGUCAGAGGUCAAAGGAGAAAUCCGCUUUGGGAGGGGUUCGCGUCCCAUUAGGUAGUUGGUGAGGUAACGGCCCACCAAGCCGACGAUGGGUAGCCGAGCUGAGAGGCUGAUCGGCCACACUGGAACUGAGACACGGUCCAGACUCCUACGGGAGGCAGCAGUGGGGAAUAUUGGGCAAUGGGCGCAAGCCUGACCCAGCAACGCCGCGUGAGGGAAGAAGGUUUUCGGAUUGUAAACCUCUGUCGCAGGGGACGAAGGAAGUGACGGUACCCUGUAAGAAAGCCCCGGCUAACUACGUGCCAGCAGCCGCGGUAAUACGUAGGGGGCGAGCGUUGUCCGGAAUUACUGGGCGUAAAGGGAGCGUAGGCGGUCGAUUAAGUUAGAUGUGAAACCCCCGGGCUUAACUUGGGGACUGCAUCUAAUACUGGUUGACUUAGAGUACAGGAGAGGGAAGCGGAAUUCCUAGUGUAGCGGUGAAAUGCGUAGAUAUUAGGAGGAACACCAGUGGCGAAGGCGGCUUUCUGGACUGACACUGACGCUGAGGCUCGAAAGCGUGGGGAGCA
This 697-nucleotide ribosomal RNA is filed under the name uncultured Bacillota bacterium. RNAcentral describes it as "bacterial SSU rRNA". It matches the Rfam family "Bacterial small subunit ribosomal RNA", at positions 62 to 770 of the family's 1533-position model. The record is from RNAcentral. Lineage: Bacteria; Bacillati; Bacillota.